GUGAGGGGGCACAGAAGCAUAAGCUGUGUCUCUGACCCUUAAGAGCCUGAUGUGUAACCCAGGAGGCCUUUCAGCUUCAAAUCAAACCAGAUGCUAACAAUCAGGAUGAAUCAUUAAAAAUCAGUAGAAAGUACCACCUCCCUGUUCAUACUGUUCAUGGGGUUCUCAAGGCAAGAAUACUGAAGUGGCUUGGCAUUCCCUUCUCCAGUGAAGCUCCAAUACUUUGGCCACCCAAUGCGAAGAACUGACUCUUUGGAAAAGACCCUGAUGCUGGGAAAGAUUGAAGGCAGGAGGAAGAAGGAGACGACAGAGGAUGAGAUGGUUGGAUGGCAUCAUCGACUCGAUGGACAUGAGUUUGAGCAAGCUCCAAGAGUUGGUGAUGGACAGAUAAGCAGCCUGGUGUGCUGCAGUCCAUGGGGUUGCAAAGAGUCCGACAUGACUGAGCAAUUGAACUGACUGACCACCUCCCUGAAUUCCCUUGGUGGGGGGUCAGCAAAAGGACUAAGCAAGACCUGGUGGCUGGUUCUAACUAGAAAAUUACUUAACCUCUCUCUGCCUCUGUUUGCCCAUCCAUCAAAUGGGAACAAUAGUAACGUUCUCAUGGGACUCACAGGAUUGUAACAAGAAUAACUUGAGAUCCUCACAGUGCAUUAAAAAGAACAAAAUGUUGUCCACAUGAUCUGGGGGAGACUGGGGACCACAUCUCACUCUCUACUGCAUCCCAAGCACCUGUACAGUGUGGGUCUGGCAGACAGUAGGAGCUCAAUAAACAUUUGUGGAGUGAAUGAUGGAACAGGCAGGUAUAAUCACAAGUCCAUAAAGGACAGAGAACUACACAUCCUUCCAUCAACUCCGAGCCUGAGGAGGCUCACCCCAUUCCAGCUUCAACCCUGUAUCCAUCCUCCUCAGAAUGGUCCCCAUCCUGAUUCUGGCACCGCAUAUCCACUAUAAGGAGUCCCUCAUUCACGGCAGCAAAGGUUCGAAGCCUUAAGUUCACCCCCAGCCAGGGAGCAGAGGCCAGCACUGAUCUCAGCCCGUUUCCUCGGGUUUCAGGGUGCAGCACUUGCUGUCACAAGGAACUGGGCAGCUCCGCCCUUGUUUCCCGCUCCCAUCUGCUGAGGCAGGGGAACGUUGGGCCAUAGGAGUCAGCCAAGCGGCUCUCUGGCCAGCUGACAAGGAGACCGGGCACCAGAGAGCAGCCAUACCUGAUGCACCCCCAACCAGAACCUCAGG
Long non-coding RNA from Bos taurus (domestic cattle), 1233 nucleotides. NCBI's taxonomy places the organism in Eukaryota, Metazoa, Chordata, Mammalia, Artiodactyla, Bovidae. The record is from Ensembl.